RNAcentral lists this ribosomal RNA (253 nucleotides) under uncultured bacterium. Its description in RNAcentral is "partial 16S ribosomal RNA". It matches the Rfam family "Bacterial small subunit ribosomal RNA", at positions 524 to 776 of the family's 1533-position model. The record is from RNAcentral.
UACGUAGGGGGCUAGCGUUGUCCGGAAUCAUUGGGCGUAAAGCGCGUGUAGGCGGCCCGGUAAGUCCGCUGUGAAAGUCGGGGGCUCAACCCUCGGAUGCCGGUGGAUACUGUCGGGCUUGAGUACGGAAGAGGCGAGUGGAAUUCCUGGUGUAGCGGUGAAAUGCGCAGAUAUCAGGAGGAACACCGGUGGCGAAAGCGCGAUACUGGGCCAUAACUGACGCUGAGGAACGAAAGCCAGGGGAGCGAAAGGG